GAUGAACGCUGGCGGCGUGCCUAAUACAUGCAAGUCGAGCGAACAGAUGAGGAGCUUGCUCCUCUGACGUUAGCGGCGGACGGGUGAGUAACACGUGGAUAACCUACCUAUAAGACUGGGAUAACUUCGGGAAACCGGAGCUAAUACCGGAUAAUAUAUUGAACCGCAUGGUUCAAUAGUGAAAGACGGUUUUGCUGUCACUUAUAGAUGGAUCCGCGCCGCAUUAGCUAGUUGGUAAGGUAACGGCUUACCAAGGCGACGAUGCGUAGCCGACCUGAGAGGGUGAUCGGCCACACUAGAACUGAGACACGGUCCAGACUCCUACGGGAGGCAGCAGUAGGGAAUCUUCCGCAAUGGGCGAAAGCCUGACGGAGCAACGCCGCGUGAGUGAUGAAGGUCUUCGGAUCGUAAAACUCUGUUAUUAGGGAAGAACAAAUGUGUAAGUAACUAUGCACGUCUUGACGGUACCUAAUCAGAAAGCCACGGCUAACUACGUG
This 497-nucleotide ribosomal RNA is filed under the name uncultured bacterium. RNAcentral's name for it is "partial 16S ribosomal RNA". It matches the Rfam family "Bacterial small subunit ribosomal RNA", at positions 28 to 507 of the family's 1533-position model. The record is from RNAcentral.